ACUCCUACGGGAGGCAGCAGUGGGAAUAUUGGACAAUGGGAAUCGUAGAUCCAGCAUGCCGCGCUGCUGUGAAGAAGGCCAAUUCGGGCUUGGUUAAAGACACUUUCAGUGGGGAGGAAAGGUUGAUGGUUAAUACCUAUCAGCUGUGACGUUACCCACAGAAGAAGCACCGGCUAACUCCGUGCCAGCAGCCGCGGUAAUACGGAGGGUGCAAGCGUUAAUCGGAAUUACUGGGCGUAAAGCGUGCGCAGGCGGUCUGUUAAGCGAGAUGUGAAAG
This 277-nucleotide ribosomal RNA is filed under the name uncultured bacterium. Its description in RNAcentral is "partial 16S ribosomal RNA". It matches the Rfam family "Bacterial small subunit ribosomal RNA", at positions 335 to 600 of the family's 1533-position model. The record is from RNAcentral.